Ictalurus punctatus (channel catfish) is the source of this 413-nucleotide long non-coding RNA. RefSeq lists it as uncharacterized. The transcript has 2 exons. Lineage: Eukaryota; Metazoa; Chordata; Actinopteri; Siluriformes; Ictaluridae. The record is from RefSeq and is a predicted model, not a curated record.
ACUGCCCCCCCCUCUAGAUAACGAUAAGACCAAGGUCCCUCCCGGUUGUUUAGUCGUCUUGUCUACGUCAUUUUUUUACCUAGGGAAUUGAGAAUCCUGGUUUCUGACUACCUAGGUAAAUGAGAAUCCUGGUUUCUGACCCCCUAGGUAACUAGAAACUCUGGGUUUUUGUUUCCUGGGUUGUUGGAAAUGCCUGGGUUCUGAUUUUAUGUGUAAAUUAAAACCCCUGGUUUCAAUUCUAUGGGUAAGUGAAAUAGGCCUUUUCUGGAAACCUAUGGGUUAUCUAGUGUGUAAAUACAGUAUAAAUACUGGAGCUUAAGCUCAGGGUAGGGGGAUCACUUCUGAGAAUUCUCAUCGGUGUGGAUCUCGUGUGGUGGAAUGGAACAAUAAAGCUGGACCCUUGCUUCUUCUCA